CUGAGGCAGAGGCAGCGUUCCCGGGAACUCAAGCACCGCUUCACUUCUGCUCCUUUUAGCCAGACCCAGAACGCCGGUUCGUCCUCGAGGUGGACGCUUCCGACACCCCCAGACCAACGGUCAGACUGAGCGGGCCAACCAGGAGUUGGAAACUGCAAUACACUGUGACUUCAGCUAACCCUUCCUCCUGGAGUUCCCAGCUACCCUGGGUGGAAUAUGCCCACAACACCCUCAUGAACGCCUCAUCAGGUAUGUCUCCCUUUGCGUGUGCAUUUGGUUACCAACCUCCCUUGUUCCCUGCCCAAGAGGUUGAAGUAGCGGUGCCCUCAGUCCAGGAUCACAUACGCCAUUUUCGUCACACCUGGAGGGGGGCCCGGGCUGCCGCCAGGACCCAAUCCAAAGCUAACUGUCGCCGUGCCCCAGCCUACACUCCAGGCCAAAAGUACCUCUCUGGUUCCUGUCUCCUGUUCCACAUCUCACCACUAACCACAUUCCUCUGGAUUUCACUCCCCACCAUUACCUUGGAUUUCCCUCAGGACCUGUUUCCCUAUUCUGCUCUGAUUCCGCUCUUGGGUUCCCCCCUUCACUCCUCAUAACAGAGGAAGCAACUGUGCAGAGGUAGACAAUGAAGAGGAAGAUGAGAGCAAAAAAGGUUGUCUACAGGGAGUGUGUGCCAAUUUGUCGGCAUAUCGACGGUCGCUGGGGGUCAAAAGCUCAUAUGUCCUCCACCUCCUCUGGUUCGAGUGACACCAGCGGGGGCGGAACCGACAAUGUGGUCCAAUCAGAUGAAGGGGGGGUGCACGCCGACACCCUGCUGCUGACCUCUGUGCCCCGAAUGAAAGAUGGAGUGGCCAGGCUUCUCUUUCUCUUCUGUCUCUUCAUCUUAGAGACACAAGUCAAUCAGCUGUUCUGACAAGGAAUGGGUAAACAGACUAAACUCAGAGAUCGAUACAUUUACAAUGUAUGUUCUGUAUUGGUUUUAUCAUUCUGCAAUAAAUAAAUAAAAAUCCCUGACAUUUCA
This is a long non-coding RNA of Oncorhynchus gorbuscha (pink salmon), 1021 nucleotides long. RefSeq lists it as uncharacterized. The transcript has 3 exons. The record is from RefSeq and is a predicted model, not a curated record. Lineage: Eukaryota; Metazoa; Chordata; Actinopteri; Salmoniformes; Salmonidae.